GAUGAACGCUGGCGGCGUGCCUCAAACAUGCAAGUCGAGCGGGGCUAUGUAAUAUCGCAAGGUAGAACAUAGCCUAGCGGCGAACGGGUGAGUAACACGUGGGUAACCUGCCUGGAAGACAGGGAUAACGAUUCGAAAGGGUCGCUAAUACCUGAUAAUAUCCUUUCAUCGCAUGGUGAUAGGAAGAAAGGGGAAACCCGCUUUCAGAUGGGCCCGCGUCCCAUCAGCUAGUUGGUAAGGUAAAGGCUUACCAAGGCGACGACGGGUAGCCGGUCUGAGAGGAUGUCCGGUCACACUGGGACUGAGACACGGCCCAGACUCCUACGGGAGGCAGCAGCAGGGAAUCUUGGGCAAUGGGCGAAAGCCUGACCCAGCGACGCCGCGUGGAGGAAGAAGUCCUUGGGGCGUAAACUCCUGGACUGGGGACGAGUAAGGACGGUACCCCAGUAGAAAGGGACGGCUAACUACGUGCCAGCAGCCGCGGUAAAAGUACUACUAU
RNAcentral lists this ribosomal RNA (499 nucleotides) under uncultured bacterium. Its description in RNAcentral is "bacterial SSU rRNA". It matches the Rfam family "Bacterial small subunit ribosomal RNA", at positions 28 to 536 of the family's 1533-position model. The record is from RNAcentral.